This 253-nucleotide ribosomal RNA is filed under the name uncultured bacterium. RNAcentral describes it as "partial 16S ribosomal RNA". It matches the Rfam family "Bacterial small subunit ribosomal RNA", at positions 524 to 776 of the family's 1533-position model. The record is from RNAcentral.
GACGAACCGAGCGAACGUUGUUCGGAAUCACUGGGCUUAAAGGGCGCGUAGGCGGGCAUCAUAGUCUGUGGUGAAAUCCGGCAGCUUAACUGUCGAAUUGCCAUGGAUACUGGGUGUCUCGAGGGAGGCAGGGGUGCGCGGAACUGAUGGUGGAGCGGUGAAAUGCGUUGAUAUCAUCGGGAACUCCGGUGGCGAAGGCGGCGCACUGGUCCUUUUCUGACGCUGAGGCGCGAAAGCCAGGGGAGCAAACAGG